CCUUCAGGCUCCUUCGGCUAUGAGUGGAAAAGUUGACCGGCCUCUCAAUUGCCUAAAUUGUGAGAGGACAUUGGGGGAAGUCUAACUUGAAAAAUACCUAACAGCUCAUUCAGAAAUGUGCGUCUUCUUCAUCGAUCUCCAUUGAAAGAUUUGUCAGCAACAGAUUUCCGUCCAAGUUGGCUCAGUUUCAACUUUUGUAGCCACAGCUUCUUUCUUUAAAAUAACUUUGUCAUGGGCUCUUUCUCCCCCGCUGCCCCUCCAAAACACCCAAAAUGUAGUAAGCUAAAUUUCAGUGAGAUGAAACCGGUUUUCGCAUCAGGUUCGAAGACGCAAAGCAAAGGUGGAAAGAAGUUGUGUGUUAAAUCGGAACGGAUUUUUGUGCGUGGAAGGAAUGUAAGUAUUGUGGAUGCAUAACGUCAGAUCUGAGUAUAAACGAAGCGAUGUCAAUCCCACUUGUGUUACUGAAAGGACUUAGGAAGGGGAGGAAGGAUGAUGAGUAGAGGUCUGAAGAACAGAUUUCAGCUGGAAAUCGUUUUCUCUGAACUAACGAAGCUGGGUUUCUAAGGGAAACGUCGACUGGUCAGUGAAACAUCCACUUCAUCUACUCCACGGGUGGAUUUUUAAACUUUGUGACAAAGCGGGCCAAGGGCAGUCCCCUGGGAGUGAGCCCUAUUGAAACCAGUGGAUCUUACUUUCGUGUAAAGGUGCGCUCAACUCGAGUGUUAAGAAAUGCUCCUAUUCCUUGCAAAGAAGAGCAAGGACUCACCCCCACCCCACCCGGGCUAACAUGAGCACCCUGCGGAGUUUACUUUGGAAAACAAGGGUGGGGAAUCUGUGGUCCUCCAGGCGUCGUAAAACUACAACUCCCUGGCCAUGGUGGCUGGGAGUGUCCUAAAAUGAGAGGAGACCCAGGGACUCAGCCUUGGCAAGAGGUCUCUUUCUCCCGGCUGAAAGCCUUGCCCUUUAAUCCUAGAUGUGUGAGGAUAAAUUCGUUAGCAUUCUGUAUACGCCCAGAUGCACUCUCUCAGGGGUAACUAAGAUCUGG
Non-coding RNA from Podarcis lilfordi (Lilford's wall lizard), 1045 nucleotides. The record is from the annotation of a GenBank genome assembly. Lineage: Eukaryota; Metazoa; Chordata; Lepidosauria; Squamata; Lacertidae.